UUAAGUUCAGCGGGUAGUCCUACCUGAUUUGAGGCCAGAUGUAAUAAAAACGUCUCCAAUGAAGAAGAACAGGGGUUAGAAAGCAGACGGUAGUCAAGUGGAAUGGCCAUCCGAAGAUGUCCUUAGCGAAAUACUUAUUACGCCAAGUCAAACCAGUCCUCACGACAAGUCCAGCUAAUCAAUUUAAGGUGAGCCAUCAA
Molecule: unclassified non-coding RNA, 200 nt
Filed under: Cryptococcus sp. (in: basidiomycete fungi)
Lineage: Eukaryota; Fungi; Basidiomycota; Tremellomycetes; Tremellales; Cryptococcaceae
Description: Cryptococcus sp. partial internal transcribed spacer 2
Source: RNAcentral